UUUAAGAGAGUUUCUUUAUCCUGCCACUGAAGGGAUGUAAACAUGAAUUGAAGUAAUGUUUUUGUUUGUUUUUCUGUGGCUCUGGAGCUUGUAUCAAAUUUCUACAGUUACUUAUUUUUAUUUUUUUUUAGAAGUAUCUUAAAAUAUUCAGUGUUCAUGGAAUAUUUUCUCCAGAACAAAGACUGCUCUGAAGGAUAAUAUCAAAUGCUAAAAGGUUGCAUGAUCCGAAUUUGUCAGUUUUAGAAGAAAGGCACUUCCUCCUUUUUUGAAAGCUUCUGAAUUAUUACGAGCUUCUUUCUGUAACAAUUCUACGCUUCUAUAAGAAAUACUCUGAAGAACCAAAAAGUAGGAAAAAAAGGUAGCUAGAGAACAACCUUCUACCAGGUCUGUUUUUAAAACUGAACUUUGCUUUCAUCUCCAGGGCUGUGAUCAGAUUUUAUUGCCAAACUGAGGUGUUUAAUCAAAAUUCUGAUUCAUAUGAUGGGACACACGUGACCCAAAAUGUGUACUUGGGUUUGAAAGCUUACCUAUGUAAUCAAGGAUGCUGAGAGAGGAGCACCUUGCACUGUAAGUGCCAUGUGUAAGUGAUGCCAUCUUGAAAGAAGCUCUACUCAUACUUAAUAUUUAUUGCUGUUCUUGGUCAUUCUUUUUAAAAUUGAUUCACAGACAUUAGAAUGGGGCAAAAAUGUGGUUUGUGUAAAUAAGUCUAUGUCACUAUACAAAUUCACUGGUUCACUCUCUACGUUGCAACAGAUCGUGAAAAUUUCAGCAUAGAUGGAAGAUGGUGUUACCAGAUUAUUUACUAGGCCUACUUCAGCUUUGUCCAAGGAUCCAACUUCAAGGAAAUUUCAAGAUCAUCUUCAAGAGUUUACUGUGUCAAUUGCCAGCUAUUUAGAGCUAGCCUACAAAAAGUGCUACUUAUACUGUUAUAAAUGUGUUACCUGAUUAUAACAGUAUCUGAAGAGCCAGCUCCCCCACCCCUCAGCCACAGCUGUUAUUAACUGGAAUGUUGUACAGAUGAGCCAUAUCAGUUUUUGAAAGUCCAGAAAAUUAUUCAUAUCCUUUUGAAAAAAACUUUGGUGAAAAUUAAUAGUGAUGAACUUGAAAAAGGUACAGUUUUAUUCCAUACUUUUCUUCACUUCAAAGCCAUAUUUUAAGAUGUUACAAUUUUUUCCCCAGUAUCUCUACACUGACAUAUCUUACACACAUAUUAUGAGCUCACAAGUCUGAAAAGCAAAAUUCAGUUUAUAAAUUUAGUAUGCGCUACCUGUCUGCUAGUGAAUAAAUAUAAAAGAAUAUUCA
This 1302-nucleotide long non-coding RNA is filed under the name Parus major (Great Tit). RNAcentral's name for it is "lncRNA (ENSPMJG00000016646.1)". Lineage: Eukaryota; Metazoa; Chordata; Aves; Passeriformes; Paridae. The record is from RNAcentral.